CAACAUGAAGAAACGAACAUCUAUGGCCCUGGAAGAAAAGAUUGCAGUCGAUCCUGAUGGAUUCUUCAUCGAUGACCUGCAAGACAAGCCAGUGCCUGGCAUUCACAAGACCUUUUUCGAUGCGCUGCCAAAAGGAGCAUGGC
Molecule: non-coding RNA, 143 nt
Filed under: Heterosigma akashiwo
Lineage: Eukaryota; Raphidophyceae; Chattonellales; Chattonellaceae
Source: RNAcentral